RNAcentral lists this long non-coding RNA (4648 nucleotides) under Homo sapiens (human). RNAcentral's name for it is "lncAB231.1". Lineage: Eukaryota; Metazoa; Chordata; Mammalia; Primates; Hominidae. The record is from RNAcentral.
GCGGCGACCGCCGGCAACUGUUGUGGCUGCCGCAUUGCUCCCGCCGGGCUGUAGCUGAGCGCGGAGCCCGUGGGGGCCGGUGAGGUAAGGAGAUAGCUUCGGGGCAACUCUGGCCUCCCCGUCCGCGCGGGCCUAAGCGCCCCGGGACCCCUGGGUUCCCCUCUUUCUCCUUUGGUUUCGCCCGGGGGUGGUCCCCGCUAGCUCACGCUUCCAGUGGGUUCCGCCUGGCCUCUCGCGAAGUCGCGUCCGGGCGGUAGUACUCGUCCCCGUAAGGUUGUCCGCUCGUGCCUUGGCUUGUGUCCUCGGCUACCCCUGGGCCUGCGCACCGCUCCUCCAGGAGCCUGCACCUCAGCCCCGAUGCCAGGGCGGCCGGGGUGACCUCGGGCUCCCCAGUCUUGGGCUUGCACACCCCUGCGGCGCAGAGCCAACUCCAGCUUGUCUAGCCCGGUCCUCCAUCCCUGCAGAUGGAACUGUUUUCCCGCGUUGAGACGUGCGGUCCGCUUGUGCUUUCAGAACUAGUAAGACUGCUGCAGAGUCCGGAGGAAGAAGUCACCUAGAAAAGUCUGGGACAGGGCAGUAAGCUUCCUUCUUAAUGUUUGACCUUUGGGGGCCGAUGUGUGAUACCUCGGAUUUGAAUCAAGAAUCUCCAAGCCCAUUUUCCGCAUGCAUGUAAACGUGAUGUACCGGGAUGGGGGCUGGUGGUGGAGGAGGAGCCAGCCCAACGGAUAUGCGUUUCCAGUGGCAGGGACUUGUGUUAAUUUCUUUUUUCUUUUUUCUUUUUUUUUCUUUUUUCCGAGACGGAGUCUCACUCUGUCGCCCAGGCGGGAGUGCAGUGGCGCGAUCUCGGCUCACUGCAACCUCUGCCUCCUGGGUUCAAGCAAUUCUCCUGCCUCAGCCUCCCAAGUAGCUGGGAAUACAGGUGUGCGCCACCACGCCCGGCUAAUUUUUGUGUUUUUAGUAGAGACGGGGUUUCACUAUGUUGGCCAGGCUGGUCUGGAACUCCUGACCUCGUGAUUCGCCCGCCUCAGCCUCCCAAAGUGCUGGGAUUACAGGCGUGAGCCACUGCGCCCGGCCAACUUGUGCUAAUUUCUUAAACUUGCGUGAUCACCUGGUGUACUUGUUGAAAAAUACAGCUCCCUGGCGUGGCAGGAUCAGAAUCUGCCGAGGUGGACCGUGGGAAUCUGUCAUUUUUAAACAAGUGUCCCAGGUGGUUCUUUUGCUGAGGCAAGUGUGGGAAAUGUGUGAACCCACGCUCAUCCAGUCUUCCUUGUGACCGGCAGUCCACUGUGCGCAACGCUGCAGCCAUACAGAGGGACUACUCGAAGUUAGAACUAGCACCUUGGUCUUGUUGGAAUAAGCAGAUCUGAGUAGAGCCAGCUGCAGUCUUAUGGUUGUUUAGCAGAAGUUAUUCUUCUUAGCAGAGAAUAUUAUACGGUCAUUUUCCAGAACUGUAAAAACUCUAUCAUUUGUUUUAAACCAGAUGAUGUGCUUCAUUUCUGUCUUUGACGUCUUCAGUUUCUUCUCCCCUGGCUUUACCUCCUUUGCUAUCAGUUUGUGCUUUGGUUUUGCUGCCAACCUUAUAGGCUUAGGUUUGGCGGCAAAGGCACUAGACUCUGGUGCCUUCUUUUCCUUCGUUGUCUUAAGCCCUUCUUUUCCUCUGCCCUCAUGCCCUCACCACUUCACUCUUUUGAAGGUCAUAAUGAACACAAGGUCAGAGAUCCCUUUUUUGGCGCCAAGCACCCUGGGCUUUUUUGAGAUGGAGUCUCACUGUGUCACCCAGGCAGUGGCGCGACUCUGCGCACUGCAGCCUCCAUCUCCCUGGUUGAAGCAAUUUUCCUGUCUCAGCCUCCUGAGUAGCUGGGACUACAGGUGCAAGCCACGACACCUGGCUAAUUUUUCUGUUUUUAGUAGAGACGGGGUUUCACCAUGCUGAUCAGGCUGGUCUCAAACUCCUGACCUCAAAUGAUCCACCCACCUUGGCCUCCCAAAGUGCUAGGAUUACAGGUGUGAGCCCCUGCGCCUGGCCUUUUUUUGUUUUGUUUUGUUUAAGACAGAGUCUCACUGUGUCACCCAGGCAGGAGUGCAGUAGCAUAAUCUCGGCUCACUGCAACCUCUGUCUCCCAGGCUCAAGCGAUCCUCCUACCUCAGGAGUUCAGGACCAGCCUGGGCAACAUAGUGAGCCCAUCUCUACAAAAAAAAAAAAAAAAAUUUAAAAAAUUAAUAAAACACAAGAUUGGCCUGUGUGGUGAGACAGUAUUGAAUCCAACAAACGGGAACUGGUUAGUGAGGCCCAAGAUGCAAUGGUGGCCGCACCAUGAGUACCUGGGACCACAGGUGCGUGCCACCACACCCAGCUAAUUUUUUGUAUCUUUGGUAGAGACGGAGUUUCACCAUGUUUGCCAGGCUGGUCUCCAAUUUCCGACCUCAAAUGAUCUACCCGCCUCGGCCUCCCAAAGUGCUGAGAUUACAGGCGUGAGACAUGGCGCCCGGCCUAAAGUUUUUUUUUAAUUCCUCCUUAAAACUCAUCUGUUACUGUGUUUGUUCUGCCACCUUUGCAAUUCCCUUUCUCUGUUAGGGGAAUGUGCUUAAUGGUUCAGUCCUCACAGCUGUCCUUUCCUUACCAUCUGCUUUUAUUUGAAAGGUAGCGUGGAGUCAUGAUUAAAUAGCCGGCCACUAAUGCCAAAUUGGCAGGGUUCUGCUACUCAACAGUUUGGUAGGACCUUGGGUGAGUCACUUCCACUUAUCUGUGCCUGUUUCCUCAAGUGUAGAAUAGAAAUGCUAGUAUCUACCUCAUAAGGUUGUGAGGAUUAAAUUAGUUAUAUACAUAGGCAGUAUCUGGUGCAUUGUAACUACUUAUAAAAAUAUUAGCUUUAAAAAUUAUUGGCCGGUCACAGUGGCUCAUGCCUGUAAUCCCAGCACUUUGGGAGGCCAAGGUGGGUGGAUCACCUGAGGUCAGGAGUUCGAGACCAGCCUGGCCAACAUGGUGAAACUCCAUCUCUACUAAAAAUACAAAAAAUUAGUCGGGCACAGUGGCGUGCGCCUGUAAUCCCAGCUACUCGGGAGGCUGAGGCGGGAGAAACACUUGAACCUGGAAGGCAGAGGUUGCAGUGAGCUGAGAUCACGCCUCUGCACUUCAGCCUGGGCGACAGAGUGAGACUCUGUUUCACAAUAAAUAAAAAUAAAAAUAAUUCUCUCAGGUAUUUAGAUAUCUCCUCAAAUCUGGGGGUCCUACCUUUGAUUUUUUCCCCCCAUCUUCUUUGUUCUCUGUUCUCAUUCAUGCAUCAACAUAUAUUUCCUAGGUACCUAUGCUGAACGCUGGGAAAAUUGAGCAAUUUAUAAGGUUUCUGCUCUUAGUUCCAUUAUAAUAGGGAAAUAAUAGGCCGGGUGUGGUGGCUUAGCCUGUAAUUCCAGCACUUUGGGAGGCCAAUGUGGGCAGAUCACUUGAGGUCAGGAGCUCGAGACCAUCCUGGGCAACGUAGUGAGACCUCACCUCUACAAAUAUUCAUAAUUUUAAAAUUAGCUGAGUGUGAUGGUACACAUCUGUGGUCCCAGCUACUCUGGAGGCUGAGGUGGGAGGAUCGCUUGAGUCUGGGUGGUUGAGACUGCAGUGAGCCAUGAUCAUGCCGCUGUACUCCAGCCUGCAUGACAGACCUCGUCUCAAAAAAUAAUAAAAAAUAACUACCACUUACUGAGUGCUUCUUAGGUGCUUGUACCAUGUUCUUCCUGCCUUGUCUGAUUUAGUCUUUGCAGCAACCAUGUGAGGUAGGUGUUUCUAGCCCGUGUUACAGAUGAGGAGUUCAAAGCCUAGAGAUUUAGUAACUUGCUGAUAGUCAUACAGCUAGUGAGAGGUGGGGAUAUUUUCAAACCCAGAACUGUCCGCCCCCAAAGCCUGGAUUCCCUGCCAUGCUGGCAUGUUGCUUCUCUGAUUGGCAAACAGACCAUUGUGCAGUGUGGUAAGUUCUGUGCUGGGAGAAGUGUAGUGUGUUAUAGGAGAACAUAGAAAAGCCACCUAACCAAGUGUUGGAGAAGGAGGGGGAGAUUGUCAGAUAAGAUGUCAAAGACAGGGCUGGGAUUACAGGUGUGAGGCACCGCGCCCGGCCACCCUCAAAUAUUUGCUGAAUGAAUGGCUAUCGUUCUUUGUCAAAUCCCUUUCUCAUUAAUCCCAUGCACUGAGUUGAAUGGCAUGAAAUAUGUUUGGUUUCUCUGUCUAGUUUGAGUUCCUGAGAUCUAGUUGGUGAGAGACAUGAUGUUCUACUGGUUGCUGUCGAUUGUUGGAAGACAAAGAGCCAGCCCAGGAUGGCAGAACUGGUCCUCUGCAAGAAACAGCGCAUCAGCUGCCGAGGCGCGUUCCAUGGCCCUGCCCACCCAGGCACAGGUGGUCGUCUGUGGAGGUGGAAUCACGGGCACUUCUGUGGCCCAUCACCAAUCCAAAAUGGGGUGGAAGGAUAUUGUCCUUUUGGAGCAGGGCAGAUGGGGUCUUGCUGUGUCACCCAAGCUGGAGUGCAGUCACACUAUCACAGCUGACUGUAGCCUUGACCUCGUGGAUUCAAGCAGUCCUUCUGCCAUAGCCUCCCAAGUAGCUGGGACUACUGACAUGCACCAUCACAUCUGGCUGAUUGUUGUAUUUUUCUGUAGAGAUGGGAUCUCC